CCACUUGACGAAGAAGAUCUUGUGGCAUACAUCAUCGCUGGGCUUGAUGCUAACUUCGAGCCGGUGGUGUCUGCGGUUGCGGCACGUGCAGAGCCGAUAACCGUAGCUGAGCUAUACGGCCAGAUGCUAGGGUUUGAAG
Molecule: small nucleolar RNA, 139 nt
Organism: Phragmites australis (common reed)
Lineage: Eukaryota; Viridiplantae; Streptophyta; Magnoliopsida; Poales; Poaceae
Product: small nucleolar RNA Z247
Exons: 1
Source: RefSeq, a predicted model, not a curated record